CAUCCACAGUCAGAACACAGAGAGAUGGUGUUCAGCUCACUUUCUCUUUUAUCGAGUCUAGGACUCCAGUCCAUGGGAAGAUGCUGCCCACAUGUAGGAUGGGUCUUCCCAACUCAGCUUCAUCUAAACUCUCUUUCACAGAUAUGCCCAGACAUUUGUCUCUGAGAUGGCUUGUCAGGUUGAUGACUAAUGGUACCCAUUAGAGAUCCUGUCUCUAACUUGCCCUUGCUUCAGCUCAGGAAUUAGGAGCCUGACCUUGGAGCCACAUUCCCUGCCUUGGGCCUCUCAAGGACCUCUGGAGAGUCAACUGAUAGGAGGCCACGGUGGGAAGGGAGAACUGGCAAUGGCCCUUGGGGAGCUCAGGACACUUCCUGUAUCUGCCACCUCAUUUACGACUUAGAGGAGCGUCGUGUCACAGCCACAAUGUCAGAACCCUUAUGUGGCAGCAGAGAAAGAAAAUGCAAAAGAUCAGAAGCCAGGAGGCCUCCUGGGGAGCUAGUGCCAUAGUCAGCAUGGACAUGGAAGAGAGCAUGAGCAAAUGAGCCAUCCUGAGGAUGAGAGGGAGAAGGCUGGGAGAGGAGGCCAUGUGCAAAGCCACUGCAGAUAUGUUGUCUGCAGCUAUAUCUGUGCAGCACCUGUGUGCAGUGCCCACGGAGGCCAGAGAGGGCGUUGGAUCCUCUGGGACUGGAGUCACCACCAUGUCGUGCUGGGAGCCAAACCUGGGUCCUCUUCAAGAACAGCCAGUGCUUUUAACCAUGAGCCAUCUCUUCAGCCACAAGGGUUCCUUUUUACCCGUGUUCUUGCCUGCAUUUGUAUUCUUUUGACUUUUGAGACAAUUGCACUGUGUAACACAAGCUAGACUUGAACUUUCCAUUCUCCUG
This 881-nucleotide long non-coding RNA is filed under the name Cricetulus griseus (Chinese hamster). RNAcentral's name for it is "lncRNA (ENSCGRG00015029436.1)". The record is from RNAcentral. Lineage: Eukaryota; Metazoa; Chordata; Mammalia; Rodentia; Cricetidae.